CGAUUAGAGUUUGAUCCUGGCUCAGAUUGAACGCUGGCGGCAUGCUUUACACAUGCAAGUCGAACGGUAACAGGUCUUCGGAUGCUGACGAGUGGCGAACGGGUGAGUAAUACAUCGGAACGUGCCUAGUAGUGGGGGAUAACUACUCGAAAGAGUAGCUAAUACCGCAUGAGAUCUACGGAUGAAAGCAGGGGACCUUCGGGCCUUGUGCUACUAGAGCGGCUGAUGGCAGAUUAGGUAGUUGGUGGGGUAAAGGCUUACCAAGCCUGCGAUCUGUAGCUGGUCUGAGAGGACGACCAGCCACACUGGGACUGAGACACGGCCCAGACUCCUACGGGAGGCAGCAGUGGGGAAUUUUGGACAAUGGGCGAAAGCCUGAUCCAGCAAUGCCGCGUGCAGGAUGAAGGCCCUCGGGUUGUAAACUGCUUUUGUACGGAACGAAAAGCCUGGGGCUAAUAUCCCCGGGUCAUGACGGUACCGUAAGAAUAAGCACCGGCUAACUACGUGCCAGCAGCCGCGGUAAUACGUA
This 529-nucleotide ribosomal RNA is filed under the name uncultured bacterium. RNAcentral describes it as "bacterial SSU rRNA". It matches the Rfam family "Bacterial small subunit ribosomal RNA", at positions 1 to 529 of the family's 1533-position model. The record is from RNAcentral.